AGUGAACGCUGGCGGUAGGCCUAACACAUGCAAGUCGAACGGCAGCACAGUAAGAGCUUGCUCUUACGGGUGGCGAGUGGCGGACGGGUGAGGAAUACAUCGGAAUCUACUUUUUCGUGGGGGAUAACGUAGGGAAACUUACGCUAAUACCGCAUACGACCUAUGGGUGAAAGCAGGGGAUCUUCGGACCUUGCGCGAUUGAAUGAGCCGAUGUCGGAUUAGCUAGUUGGCGGGGUAAAGGCCCACCAAGGCGACGAUCCGUAGCUGGUCUGAGAGGAUGAUAAGCCACACUGGAACUGAGACACGGUCCAGACUCCUACGGGAGGCAGCAGUGGGGAAUAUUGGACAAUGGGCGCAAGCCUGAUCCAGCCAUACCGCGUGGGUGAAGAAGGCCUUCGGGUUGUAAAGCCCUUUUGUUGGGAAAGAAAAGCAGCAGGUUAAUACCCCGCUGUUCUGACGGUACCCAAAGAAUAAGCACCGGCUAACUUCGUG
Molecule: ribosomal RNA, 492 nt
Filed under: uncultured bacterium
Lineage: Bacteria
Description: partial 16S ribosomal RNA
Rfam family: Bacterial small subunit ribosomal RNA
Source: RNAcentral